This 253-nucleotide ribosomal RNA is filed under the name uncultured bacterium. RNAcentral describes it as "partial 16S ribosomal RNA". It matches the Rfam family "Bacterial small subunit ribosomal RNA", at positions 524 to 776 of the family's 1533-position model. The record is from RNAcentral.
UACGUAGGGGGCUAGCGUUGUCCGGAUUUAUUGGGCGUAAAGAGCGUGUAGGCGGCCAGGUAGGUCUGCUGUGAAAACUCGAGGCUCAACCUCGAGACGUCGGCGGAAACUAUCUGGCUAGAGUCCGGAAGAGGAGAGUGGAAUUCCUGGUGUAGCGGUGAAAUGCGCAGAUAUCAGGAAGAACACCAGUGGCGAAGGCGGCUCUCUGGGACGGUACUGACGCUGAGGCGCGAAAGCGUGGGGAGCGAACAGG